ACGUGAGAGAAUGGUUACCGCGGCUGCUGGCACGGAGUUAGACGGUGCUUCUUCUGUGAGUGAUGUCCUUCCUGCCGGUUAUUGACCCGCAGGCCUUCUUCCUCACUGAAAGUGCUUUACAACCCGAAGGCCUUCUUCACACACGCGGCAUGGCUGGAUCAGGGUUGCCCCCAUUGUCCAAUAUUCCCCACUGCUGCCUCCCGUAGGAGUCUGGGCCGUGUCUCAGUCCCAGUGUGGCUGAUCAUCCUCUCAGACCAGCUACGGAUCGUCGCCUUGGUGAGCCGUUACCUCACCAACCAGCUAAUCCGACAUAGGCUCAUCCGAUAGCGCGAGGCCCGAAGGUCCCCCGCUUUCCCCCGUAGGGCGUAUGCGGUAUUAGCCUGGGUUUCCCCAGGUUAUCCCCCGACUACCGGGCAGAUUCCUAUGCAUUACUCACCCGUCCGCCGCUCGCCACCAGGGAGCAAGCUCCCCGUGCUGCCGCUCGACUUGCAUGUGUUAGGCCUGCCGCCAGCGUUCAAU
RNAcentral lists this ribosomal RNA (519 nucleotides) under uncultured bacterium. RNAcentral's name for it is "partial 16S ribosomal RNA". The record is from RNAcentral.